UGGGGAAUAUUGGGCAAUGGGCGAAAGCCUGACCCAGCAAUACCGCGUGAAUGAUGAAGGCCUUAGGGUUGUAAAGUUCUUUUAGUAGGGAAGAUAAUGACGGUACCUACAGAAAAAGCCCCGGCUAACUCCGUGCCAGCAGCCGCGGUAAGACGGAGGGGGCUAGCGUUGUUCGGAAUUACUGGGCGUAAAGCGCGCGUAGGCGGUAUAAUAAGUUGAAAGUGAAAGCCCGGGGCUCAACCUCGGAAUUGCUUCCAAAACUGUUAUUCUAGAGUGUAGUAGGGGAUGAUGGAAUUCCUAGUGUAGUAGUGAAAUACGCAGAUAUUAGGAGGAACACCGGUGGCGAAAGCGAUCAUCUAGGCUACAACUGACGCUGAGGCGCGAAAGCAUGGGGAGCAAA
This 400-nucleotide ribosomal RNA is filed under the name uncultured bacterium. Its description in RNAcentral is "bacterial SSU rRNA". It matches the Rfam family "Bacterial small subunit ribosomal RNA", at positions 355 to 772 of the family's 1533-position model. The record is from RNAcentral.